GACGAACGCUGGCGGCGUGCUUAACACAUGCAAGUCGAACGGUGAAGGGACCAGCUUGCUGGUUCUGGAUGAGUGGCGAACGGGUGAGUAACACGUGAGUAACCUGCCCCCUUCUUCUGGAUAACCGCAUGAAAGUGUGGCUAAUACGGGAUAUUCUGGGUCUGUCGCAUGGCGGGCCCGGGAAAGAUAUUGCUUCGGUGGGGGAUGGGCUCGCGGCCUAUCAGCUUGUUGGUGGGGUGAUGGCCUACCAAGGCGGUGACGGGUAGCCGGCCUGAGAGGGGGGAGGGUCACAGGGGGACAGAGACAGGGCCCAGCCACGCGCGGGGGGAGGCGGGGGGGAAUAUGGCAAAGGGGGGGAAGGCUGGACGCGGCGCCCCCGGGGGGGGGAGGGGGGCGUGGGGUUUUAACCCCUUUUGCGCGAGGGAGGGAGCCCUCGUCUUUGGGGGGGGUUGGAGGGUAGUUGAAUAAGAGGCCCGGGCUAACUAGGUC
RNAcentral lists this ribosomal RNA (489 nucleotides) under uncultured bacterium. RNAcentral describes it as "partial 16S ribosomal RNA". It matches the Rfam family "Bacterial small subunit ribosomal RNA", at positions 28 to 507 of the family's 1533-position model. The record is from RNAcentral.